GCGGGAACACAGAGGUGACUGAGCAGAAAGGGGGACAGCCACAAUGGCCGCGGGUGUGCAGAUAUUGCGGGGCACCCCAGCAGCCCUUUCCGUCUUAAAGAGGACGGCCACGGGUGUGCGGAUGCUCCCGCGUGACCCAGCCGUCCUUUCCACCUUAUAGGGGAAUGGCCACGGGUGUGCGGAUAUUCCCGGGUGCCCCAGAGCCCUUUUCACCUUAAGGAGAUUUUCACAGUCUCAUAUCAGUCUCCAAACUAUUCAGUGAGGUUGGAGGAGUAUCACUGUGGACCAACACUGAUUGGCACCAAGUAAGGGCAAUUUUAUAACCAUGUCUCAACCAUGAAACAAUCAGGUCUUUGGCCAUCUGGUCUAAGCUUUUUCUGUAACAAAGUUGGAUAAUUAAGUUGAACUUUGGUUUUCCAAAGCUUGUUACAGAAACCACAUCUUCCUAGGUGUGGCUCUGUGGUGUCACGUGCACACAUCAGUAGCCAGGCUUGCCAAGACUCACGGCACGUUACACGUUCACCUGAGAAGGCUGCUGAAUCAUUGAGGGCUCUGGCGUGCUCUGAAAUGAAUUUGCCACUUCAGCCUACACUCUACUCCCUUGUUUGGUUAAAGAAACCCAAAAGCAGAAUUUGUUUUGGCCAAUCGCCUGCUGACCCAACUGCAGAGGUUUUAAUUAGAGUACUUUCAUUGCAUCAUAGAAAGCAAAGUCAUAUAGAUCAACUCAUUAUUACCACUCCAAAGGUUUAGUAAAUCUCCAGAUAAUCAGGCAAACAUUUUAAGAAGCUACAUUAAGGUUUACAAUACUCAAAAUUUAAAACUACAUCCAUGCUUCAAAAAACCACCAUUCCCAUUUUAGAUGGCCAAAUGCAUAUGAGAAAGAAAGAAACGUGCUGAGCGCAUUUUUUGGGUAAUCUUAUGGAGAAACUGCCACUUUAAAAAUGGCUCUAGUUCCUGGCUCCAGAUGGGUGUGGUGGGUUGCCUCACUCAAUUUCAACUCCACCUGAAGCUGGGACACUAGAAAUCCAUUCCCAGACUCCAGGGCACCAGAAUUCCCACUUCUGGAAACAGCCAGGAAUGCAGACCUGUAGCAGAGAAUUCUUUCCUGCCCACCCUAACUGUCCUCUGUGGAAGGCGACAGUCAAAGACAAGUCCACCCCCCUAGUCGCAACUGCACCACGAAGAACCAUUUCAAGGUGGGAAGUGAUUGAUCAGUGGGAACAGGCAGUUUAGCUAAUCACUUAUAAGGCAGAGAAGGGGGGUUUGAAGGCCUGUAUCUGGUCUUGUCCUCGGUAAACGGUCAUCCGCCAGUCAGCCUAAGCCACAUGGGAAGGGGCUUCUUGCAGUAAAAGUGGGGGCGCAGUUGUGGGGAAGGGGAAUGUCUUAACAAUCACUGUUUUACAGGAUCACAGGGCUCAGGCAAUGUUCAGUAUUGUCACACACCAAGGUUUUUACAGUCUGAAGAAAACUACAGUCCUAAACAGUUUCUCCGUAAGAUUACCAAAAAAAUGCACUCGGUACAUUUCUUUCUUUCUCCUAUGCAUUUGGCCUUCUAAAAUGGGAAUGGUGGUUUUUUGAAGCAUGGGUAUAGUUUUAAAUUUUGAGUAUUGUAAACCUUAAUGUAGCUUCUUAAAAUGUUUGCCUGAUUAUCUGGAGAUUUACUAAACCUUUGGAGUGAUAAUUAUUAGUUGAUCUAUAUGACUCUGCUUUCUAUGAUGCAAUGAAAGUACUAUAAUUAAAACCUCUGCAGUUGGGUGCAGCAGGCGAUUGGCCAAAACAAAUUCUGACUUUUGGUUUUCUUGAACCAAACAAGGGAGUGUAAAGUGUAGGCUGAAGUGGCAAAUUCAUUUCAGAGCACGCCAGAGCCAUCAACGAUUGAGCAGCCUUCACAGGUGAACGUGUAACGUGCCGUGAGUCUUGGCAAGCCUGGCUACUGAUGUGUGCAUGUGACACCACGGAGCCACACCUAGGAAGAUGUGGUUUCUGUAAGAAGCUUUGGAAAUCCAAAGUUCAACUUAAUUAUCUGACUUUGUUACAGAAAAACUUUGACCAGAUGGCCAAAGACCUGAUUGUCUCAUGGUCGAGACAUGGUUGUAAAAUUGCCCUUACUUGGUGCCCAUCAGUGUUGGUCCACAAUGAUACUCCUCCCACCUCACUGAAUAGUUUGGAGACUGAAAUGAGACUGUGAACAUCUCCUUAAGGUGAAAAGGGCUCUGGGGCACCCGGGAAUAUCCGCACACCCGUGGCCAUUCCCCUUUAAGGUGGAAAGGAUGGCUGGGUCACACGGGAGCAUCCGCACACCCGUGGCUGUCCUCUUUAAGGUGGAAAGGGCUGCUGGGGUGCCCAGCAAUAUCUGCACACCUAUGGCCAUUGUGGCUGUCCCCCUUUCUGCUCAGUCACCUCUGUGUUCC
This 2411-nucleotide long non-coding RNA is filed under the name Macaca mulatta (Rhesus monkey). RNAcentral's name for it is "lncRNA (ENSMMUG00000053430.1)". Lineage: Eukaryota; Metazoa; Chordata; Mammalia; Primates; Cercopithecidae. The record is from RNAcentral.